RNAcentral lists this ribosomal RNA (1043 nucleotides) under Phytophthora lateralis. RNAcentral describes it as "eukaryotic LSU rRNA". It matches the Rfam family "Eukaryotic large subunit ribosomal RNA", at positions 82 to 919 of the family's 3401-position model. Lineage: Eukaryota; Oomycota; Peronosporomycetes; Peronosporales; Peronosporaceae. The record is from RNAcentral.
AGUAACGGCGAGUGAAGCGGGAUGAGCUCAAGCUUAAAAUCUCCGUGCAAGUUUUGCACGGCGAAUUGUAGUCUAUAGAGGCGUGGUCAGUGAGGGCGCUCGGGGCAAGUUCCUUGGAAGAGGACAGCAUGGAGGGUGAUACUCCCGUUCAUCCCUGAGUGGCUUUUGCGUACGACCCGUGUUCUUUGAGUCGCGUUGUUUGGGAAUGCAGCGCAAAGUAGGUGGUAAAUUCCAUCUAAAGCUAAAUAUUGGUGCGAGACCGAUAGCGAACAAGUACCGUGAGGGAAAGAUGAAAAGAACUUUGAAAAGAGAGUUAAAGAGUACCUGAAACUGCUGAAAGGGAACCGAAUCGUUUCCAGUGUCUAUAAUCCGUGGCAUAUUUCAUUGGCGAGUGUGUGCGUGCGUGUGCUGUGGCAGUGGCUUUUUUGGCUGCGCUCGGCGUGUGUGCUGUGUGUGCUUGUUGGUGCCCUGUGGUGCGGUGGGACGUCAAGGUCAGUUCGUAUGCUGCGGGAAAUGGCUGCCGAGGAGGUAGGGCUUACGCUCCGCGUUUGUCUGUUAUAUCUUGGUGGACGAGUAGUCGCGGUUGGGACUGAGGUGCCUACAACGUGCUUUUGAGUGUGUAUGGGUCUCCGUGUGCGCCGUGUGCGGAUAGCUUGCUAUGCGUGUGUGGUUGUGUGUGGAUUGAUGCGUACUGUAACUUGUCGCCGUUCGGGACGUUGACGAAAUGGAGCGAUCCGACCCGUCUUGAAACACGGACCAAGGAGUCUAACAUGUGUGCAAGUGUUAGGGUGUGGAAACCCCAGCGCGAAAUGAAAGUAAAGGGCAGCGCAAGCUGUCUGAGGUAGGAAACGUUGCGGGCUUCGGCCUGCGGCGUGGCACUAUCGACCGAUCAUGAGCCUUCGUGGUGAAAGAUUUGAGUUUGAGCACAUAUGUUGGUACCCGAAAGAUGGUGAACUAUGCCUGAGUAGGGUGAAGCCAGGGGAAACUCUGGUGGAAGCUCGUAGCGAUUCUGACGUGCAAAUCGAUCGUCAAACUUGGGUAUA